RNAcentral lists this long non-coding RNA (339 nucleotides) under Mytilus galloprovincialis (Mediterranean mussel). The record is from RNAcentral. Lineage: Eukaryota; Metazoa; Mollusca; Bivalvia; Mytilida; Mytilidae.
GCCCAAACGCGACCGACCCAAAAUAAACCCGCCGACUCAAAUUCUUUUUUUGACGUUUUUUAGAAGAAUUUUUUUUUUUUGCGGAUUUUUUUCAUGUCUGCUCCGUCAUCGUAUAAAACUUAAAGUUUGUCGUCUUUGCGUUUGAAAGUAACUAUGAAUAAGAUUAAAAGAAAGCGCAUAAGAGAUGCAGUUAAUCGAUAUUUGAUGUUCUCUGUUUUUAUGUUCUGACUUAACGAACGUAAAGAAGUGAAACAUGUGAAGUGGCACAGUUUUUUUUACGCUCUAGUUGUCUGUCAUGUCUGUACUACCAAACCCUUACCUAUAUGCUCAAUGUUAAUU